CAGCGUUAUAAUGUACCAUACCACUAAACGCGUGGAUUAAAAUAAUAAUUGUCGAUCUCAACAACUCAAAAUUGCUCGUGCAUUUUCGGCUUAA
Molecule: long non-coding RNA, 94 nt
Organism: Bradysia coprophila
Lineage: Eukaryota; Metazoa; Arthropoda; Insecta; Diptera; Sciaridae
Source: RefSeq, a predicted model, not a curated record